Molecule: ribosomal RNA, 370 nt
Filed under: uncultured organism
Description: partial 16S ribosomal RNA
Rfam family: Bacterial small subunit ribosomal RNA
Source: RNAcentral
GUAGGGUGCGAGCGUUAAUCGGAAUUACUGGGCGUAAAGCGUGCGCAGGCGGCUUUGCAAGACAGAUGUGAAAUCCCCGGGCUCAACCUGGGAACUGCAUUUGUGACUGCAAGGCUAGAGUACGGCAGAGGGGGAUGGAAUUCCGCGUGUAGCAGUGAAAUGCGUAGAUAUGCGGAGGAACACCGAUGGCGAAGGCAAUCCCCUGGGCCUGUACUGACGCUCAUGCACGAAAGCGUGGGGAGCAAACAGGAUUAGAUACCCUGGUAGUCCCACGCCCUAAACGAUGUCAACUGGUUGUUGGACGGCUUGCUGUUCAGUAACGAAGCUAACGCGUGAAGUUGACCGCCUGGGGAGUACGGCCGCAAGGUUG